CGCCGCUCGCUCGGCUCACUACGACUGCGACACCUUCGACGGAUGCCACGCCCGCGCUAGCUAGUUGCCGCCCAGCGCUGCUCGCCAGUGCUCCCUCCCUCUCUCCCUUCCUCCUCUGCUGCCUCCAUUGCUCCCCCAUGUUCUCCAAUGAGCCAAUCCUCUGUUUUUCCCCCACCAGAGAUGAGGACGGCGGCGACGGCUACGACGAGGUAGGUCGAUUUUUCUUUCUCCUCCUUUUCCUCUUCCAGAUCUGAGCUCUUCUCUCCUCCUCCUCCCGCUCUUCUAGAUCUGAGCUCUUCUUCUCUUCUAGAUUUGAGGGAUGCGACAGUGGCUAAGUUCCAACGAGCUCUAGGAUCAUAUUCUCUCCUCUCUUCGAUCCUCCCUCAAGUGAGCUCGAAGGUGAUGGGGUCAGGGGGCUCGAGCAGGCUACACCUCGGACUCAUACCCUAGCUGUUGUACGUCCUUUUUCUGCUAUUUCUUCUGGUUGCAAUGUGAGGCCUUGUUUAGUUCCAAAAAAUUUUGCAAAACAGACACUGUAGCACUUUCGUUUGUAUUUGACAAAUAUUGUCUAAUCAUAGACUAACUAGGCUCAAAAGAUUCGUCUCGUCAAUUCCGACCAAAUUAUACAAUUAGUUUUUAUUUUCGUCUAUAUUUAAUACUUCAUGCAUGCGUCUAAAGAUUCGAUGUGACGGUGAAUCUGAAAAAUUUUGCAAAAUUUUUUGGGAACUAAACAAGGCCUGGGUUGUUGCAAGAGAUGAUAUCAGAAUGGUGUAAUAGGAUUUUUGAGUUCUUGCAACUGAUGAUUUUCGAGAGUUUCCAUUACCCUGUUUUAUGGUUGAUUUUGUGUUGUUGCAGUACUACUAUUUAAGAUAUUAUAGUACACAUUUUCCAAUAGUGCAACAAAUAAUUUUCGAUGUUGCAGACCAUAUUUUUUGAUGUUGCAGUACAUGUUUUUUCGAUGUUGCACUAUAUAUUUUUGUGAUGCUACAAUACAUCAUUUUCGAUGUUGCAGUACAUAUUAUUUUUAAUGUUGUAGUAUAUAUUUCCUGAUGUUGUACUACAUAUUUUUGCGUUAUUGCAGCGUUUAUAUUUAGAUGUUUACACUAUAUAGUUUUUCCAUAUGUUUGUGAGGUUCCACUUGAAGUGUUUUUUUGCCUUGGGACAGUGGGGAAAUGAGGUGCGUUAGGGACGGGGUCAGGAACACGGUGCGAACGGAGGAUAGGGGCACAGUGGAUACAAUUUCAUUCAGUUCUAUUUUGUUUUUCGCAAGUAUUUCAUUAGCAUAUUUCGAGUGUUUCGACUGCUUCGCACUUAAUGUUGCAAGUGUUUUAUCUAGAUUUUCAAAAGUAUAUCUGGUGUUGCAAAUAGUGUGUUUCAUAUGCAAGUUUUAUAUGUUUCAUCUGCCUUUAGAAGUAUGUUGAAAAUGUUGCAUUUGGAUUGAAAGAGCAUCUAGGCCCCUAGUGAUUUCGGUGAUUAAUGACAUUAUUGAUUACUAUGACUAACGUAUGUUUUGCAGAGGCAAAGUCAUAGGUAAGGUUAUGGUAAAUAGGUACUCGAUGGACAGGGACGUACAUGCCAACUUAAUAGUGAAAAUCGUUUUGGUUUUCAAAGGAUGGAUGGACAUCGUCAAGACUAGACUAGGUCUAAGUGCCAUAUGGUGAAGAAGGGCACUUAGAGUAGUUUAGGACUUUGUUUUCCAUUGACCGUACUAUUAAGAGGGGCUUUGAUCUAGUAGCUUGACUUAGGCAAGGCUUUAGGUUUAGGUGUGGUGCACACUUGGUAAACCUAGCACUAGGCAGCUCAGAGAUAGUCCUU
RNAcentral lists this long non-coding RNA (1815 nucleotides) under Sorghum bicolor (sorghum). Its description in RNAcentral is "long non-coding RNA (SBIC_LNC000636)". The record is from RNAcentral. Lineage: Eukaryota; Viridiplantae; Streptophyta; Magnoliopsida; Poales; Poaceae.